This 232-nucleotide ribosomal RNA is filed under the name uncultured bacterium. RNAcentral's name for it is "partial 16S ribosomal RNA". It matches the Rfam family "Bacterial small subunit ribosomal RNA", at positions 120 to 334 of the family's 1533-position model. The record is from RNAcentral.
GGUAAUCUACCUUCCGGGUGGGGGAAGUAACCCAGGGAAACUUGGGCUAACACCGCAUAAUGCAGCGGCACCACAUGGUGACAGUUGUUAAAGCGGGGGAUUUUAGGACCUCGCGCCUGAAGAGGAGCCUGCGGCGGAUUAGCUAGUUGGUGAGGUAACGGCUCACCAAGGUGACGAUCCGUAGCCGGCCUGAGAGGGCGGUCGGCCACACUGACACUGACAUACGGGUCAG